CUUUGUUGGCUUCCGAGUUGUAAUUUGCAGAGGGAGCCUCGGAGGGCUGGUCGGUCCAAGUGCCUUGGAACAGGAUACCGCAGAGGGUGAGAGUCCCGUAUCCGGCCGACGCAGUGCUCCGUGUGAGGCCUCUUCGACGAGUCGAGUUGUUUGGGAAUGCAGCUCUAAGUGGGUGGUAAAUUCCAUCUAAAAGCUAAAUACUGGCCAGAGACCGAUAGCGAACAAGUAGAGUGAUCGAAAGAUGAAAAGCACUUUGAAAAGAGAGUUAAACAGUACGUGAAAUUGUUGAAAGGGAAGCGCAUGGGGGCAGACUUGGACGCGGGGUUCAGGGUCUCUUUUUUGGAGGCGUGUACUUCCCCGCGGACAGGCCAGCAUCGGUUCUGGGGGGCCGGACAAAGGCGACGGGAACGUGGCUCUCUUCGGGGAGUGUUAUAGCCCGACGUGCAAUGCGGCCACCUGGGACCGAGGACCGCGCUUCGGCAAGGAUGCUGGCGUAAUGGCCUCAUGCGGGCCCGUCUUGAAACACGGACCAAGGAGUCUAACAUCUAUGCGAGUGUUUGGGUGGCAAGCCCGGACGCGCAAUGAAAGUGAACGGAGGUGGGAGCCCUUUCCCGCGUGGAGGGGGUGCAGCAUCGACCGAUCCGGACGUUUUCUGAAGGAUUUGAGUAAGAGCAUAGCUGUUGGGACCCGAAAGAUGGUGAACUAUGCGUGAAUAGGGUGAAGCCAGAGGAAACUCUGG
This 739-nucleotide ribosomal RNA is filed under the name Dicoccum fimicola. RNAcentral describes it as "LSU rRNA". It matches the Rfam family "Eukaryotic large subunit ribosomal RNA", at positions 127 to 867 of the family's 3401-position model. Lineage: Eukaryota; Fungi; Ascomycota. The record is from RNAcentral.